Dreissena polymorpha is the source of this 444-nucleotide long non-coding RNA. RefSeq lists it as uncharacterized. The record is from RefSeq and is a predicted model, not a curated record. The transcript is spliced from 3 exons. Lineage: Eukaryota; Metazoa; Mollusca; Bivalvia; Myida; Dreissenidae.
UUGUGUUGAAAAUCACAGAAAUGGCCUCGAAAACAGGUGACAUUCAGACCCCUAAAUUGGCUGAUUUUCCAUGAUAAAAAUAUACAGCAAGUGGGUGCACCAUGGCUAUCCAUGUAUUUUCUGGAAGACAUACCCCCAACAAUACUGAAGAUAUGUUUUGUAUGAUUUCAGGUGUAGACGUUGUGUUAGCUGUGAGGACGGACAGUGCCCCCACCCCGGCAGCCAGUAGCCGAUUUGUGAAAAACUGUAGUGUGCCCCCUUAAGGUGUAGACGUUGUGUUAGCUGUGAGGACGGACAGUGCCCCCACCCCGGCAGCCAGUAGCCGAUUUGUGAAAAACUGUAGUGUGCCCCCUUAAGGUGUAGACGUUGUGUUAGCUGUGAGGACGGACAGUGCCCCCACCCCGGCAGCCAGUAGCCGAUUUGUGAAAAACUGUAGUGUGCCCC